Molecule: ribosomal RNA, 206 nt
Filed under: uncultured bacterium
Lineage: Bacteria
Description: partial 16S ribosomal RNA
Rfam family: Bacterial small subunit ribosomal RNA
Source: RNAcentral
AGCGUAGACGGUGUGGCAAGUCUGAUGUGAAAGGCAUGGGCUCAACCUGUGGACUGCAUUGGAAACUGUCAUACUUGAGUGCCGGAGGGGUAAGCGGAAUUCCUAGUGUAGCGGUGAGAUGCGUAGAUAUUAGGAGGAACACCAGUGGCGAAGGCGGCUUACUGGACGGUAACUGACGUUGAGGCUGAAAGCGUGGGGAGCAAACA